GACGCACUGUCCUAACGUUGUUCGGAAUCACUGGGCUUAAAGGGCGCGUAGGCGGUCCGACAAGUCAGGGGUGAAAUCCUGCAGCUUAACUGCAGAAGUGCCUUUGAUACUGUCGGUCUUGAGGGAGAUAGGGGUGUGCGGAACUCACAGUGGAGCGGUGAAAUGCGUUGAUAUUGUGAGGAACGCCGGAGGCGAAAGCGGCGCACUGGAUCUCUUCUGACGCUGAGGCGCGAAAGCUAGGGGAGCAAACGGG
This 253-nucleotide ribosomal RNA is filed under the name uncultured bacterium. RNAcentral's name for it is "partial 16S ribosomal RNA". It matches the Rfam family "Bacterial small subunit ribosomal RNA", at positions 524 to 776 of the family's 1533-position model. The record is from RNAcentral.